RNAcentral lists this ribosomal RNA (432 nucleotides) under uncultured bacterium. Its description in RNAcentral is "partial 16S ribosomal RNA". It matches the Rfam family "Bacterial small subunit ribosomal RNA", at positions 29 to 507 of the family's 1533-position model. The record is from RNAcentral.
GCGAACGCUGGCGGCAGGCCUAACACAUGCAAGUCGAACGGAUCCUUCGGGAUUAGUGGCGGACGGGUGAGUAACACGUGGGAACGUGCCCUUUGGUUCGGAACAACUCAGGGAAACUUGAGCUAAUACCGGAUGUGCCCUUCGGGGGAAAGAUUUAUCGCCAUUGGAGCGGCCCGCGUCUGAUUAGCUAGUUGGUGAGGUAACGGCCCACCAAGGCGACGAUCAGUAGCUGGUCUGAGAGGAUGAUCAGCCACACUGGGACUGAGACACGGCCCAGACUCCCACGGGAGGCAGCAGUGAGGAAUCUUGCGCAAUGGGCGAAAGCCUGACGCAGCCAUGCCGCGUGAAUGAUGAAGGUCUUAGGAUUGUAAAAUUCUUUCAGCGGGGACGAUAAUGACGGUACCCGCAGAAGAAGCUCCGGCUAACUUCGUG